UCGAGGAUCUUCGGCAAUGGGCGCAAGCCUGACCGAGCGACGCCGCGUGCGCGAUGAAGGCCUUCGGGUUGUAAAGCGCUGUCGAGGGGGAGGAAAGCCCGCAAGGGCCUGACCUAUCCCUGGAGGAAGCACGGGCUAAGUUCGUGCCAGCAGCCGCGGUAAGACGAACCGUGCGAACGUUGUUCGGAAUCACUGGGCUUAAAGGGCGCGUAGGCGGCUUCCCAAGUCCGGGGUGAAAUCUUUCGGCUUAACCGGAAAAGUGCCUUGGAUACUGGGAGGCUCGAGGGGGGUAGGGGCAAGCGGAACUUCCGGUGGAGCGGUGAAAUGCGUUGAUAUCGGAAGGAACGCCGGCGGCGAAAGCGGCUUGCUGGACCCCAUCUGACGCUGAUGCGCGAAAGCCAGGGGAGCGAACGGGAUUAGAUACCCCUGUAGUCC
This 435-nucleotide ribosomal RNA is filed under the name uncultured bacterium. Its description in RNAcentral is "bacterial SSU rRNA". It matches the Rfam family "Bacterial small subunit ribosomal RNA", at positions 355 to 796 of the family's 1533-position model. The record is from RNAcentral.